CAGGCCUAACUCCAUCACAGGAGGGCCCAGGAUAAUGAGAGUGUGAUCCUCUGUGUCUCUGUUUGGUGUGUUUGUGAGAAAGAGGUGUUCGAUUUUCUACGCCUGUUUUGGUCAAACAACAACGCAGACUUCAUGGUCUGUUUUAAUUAAUGAGAAAGGAAGAGCUAUAGCUACAAGAGGAGUCACCUAUGUAUGCUGGCUAGCAGAAAAAUAAUCUAGAGAAGAGUUGGAGACUCGCUAUGUUCAGAGGAAAUUUUGUGCACCAUUAUGAUCCCUGUGGGCAACCAUCCUUGGCAUAGUGAAACAAAUCAUAUCCAUAGUCAUGUGUGUGUAGGCUGCGUGUAAGUGGCUUUAUAGAGAGGAUCUCGCAUCAAGUUGUGGAAUUACUCAUUCGAAUAAGUAUGAGGGUUGCAAGUAGACUCGUAUAUAAGCUUGAUGGUGAAUUAAAGAAGUUGAAUCUCUGAUUAAGCAGGGGAUGUGGGAUGGAGUAAUUUCAAAAUGUGAGGGACCAAGCUAAUGUUUACAAGAGAAUUUAACAUAUCAUGUAGGCGAAAAGGAUUCCUACAGAACUAGUGAAUACAGUUCAGCUAGUUACCCAUGUAUCUUGGUAGAUGAUCUAUUUUAUUAUGGAUGCAAUAAUCAAUUUUAAUGCAGUUAUAGAAGGAGAAGCAUAAAAGUUUGUGAAUAAAGCCCAGAGUGAUGAAGCUUUUUACA
This is a long non-coding RNA of Cryptomeria japonica (Japanese cedar), 714 nucleotides long. RefSeq lists it as uncharacterized. The record is from RefSeq and is a predicted model, not a curated record. The transcript has 2 exons. Lineage: Eukaryota; Viridiplantae; Streptophyta; Pinopsida; Cupressales; Cupressaceae.